This is a long non-coding RNA of Astatotilapia calliptera (eastern happy), 1602 nucleotides long. NCBI's taxonomy places the organism in Eukaryota, Metazoa, Chordata, Actinopteri, Cichliformes, Cichlidae. The record is from Ensembl.
AGGAGAAGGAUCUGGAACAGGAAAUGUUUUGAAGUGAACAAGAGCAGAAGAAACAUACUGAAGAUAUUGUCAAUAAUCUUGACAUUAUUCUGCAAUUUAUGAAAUGCGUUCUUGCCAAAAUCCGUCCUCUGCUUAAACUUUCAUCUUUUAUCCGACUAUCUAAAAUUUUCCUAUGUUCUACCUUGAUCAGUAAUCAGGGGCAGUAUCCAGUACUUCACGUCACUGGCAGGGGGUGGCACGUACUAGCGCAAGAGACACUAGCAACAAGCAAGUGCUAAUGAAGGGAACUCUGGGGCUCAGUUUGCCUACCUUUUACAAUAACCGAGGAGUGAACUGCUGACUGCGCAGUCAUACAGAAGUGCUCCUUUAAUUAAAUGAGAGUGUGCAUGGCCACAGCUGUGAGCUACAACUAGCUGAGCAGUCUGGCUAAGCCCCUGUGGAGGUAAGGAACUGCAAAAGGCUAAACAUAAGUGAAAGGAAGAUUACAUAGUAUCAGCAGUUUCAUGGCUUUGUUGUUGCAAACUCUGUUAAGCAUCAGAGUCUUCAUAACUGUCCAUAAGGCAGAAUUGAGCUACAACAACCAAAUAACACUCUUAAUUGUUGCCUCUUGCGCCAGUAUAAACUGUAAGAAAGAGAAAUGUGUGGGCCAGAUAACUUGUGUUUGUGUAGCAGGUGCUUAAAGGCCUGUGGUGUCUAGUCUAACAGCAGGCUGUCAGUGGUGUUGGUAUGCCUGUGAUGCAUGAAUGGAUUUAUAACGCUAUUAAGAAAUCAUCCUAAGGUAUUCUGGCACACAUCUGCUCCUCUGCUCCCCUUCGUCUCUGCAGCAAAUUGGCACCACAAGUGAUUACAAGGUUUCUAUGGCCAUCAGCUUUAAUUUGGAGCCUUGGGAAAGUCUUUCAUCGCUUAAUGCAUGUAAGUGUCUGUGUGUGUUUGUGUUUAAUUCAUCACCUGCAGCUUACACUUCUCUUUCUUCUCUGCCUCAUUGUUUUCAGGCUGCCUGUGUGGACUUGAUUUGAUUUAAAUUAAGGGAUAUUUUGAUUGAAAGAAUUAGUUUGACUAUUGUUUGACAUAUGGUUAUGAGCUAUUAUUGUCCUACUUUUCUUGACUAUAAAUGUUUCAAUGUACUGUGUAAGAAAAGGCAAUCUCUCUGUCAUUUUUCAUUUUCCAUACACAACACUAGCAAAAGCUAAUAGACCACUAUAUUCAUUUGUUGUACUAACUUUAGCCAGUAUAGCAGUUUUUAUUAUGUACAUGUGAUAACUCAUUAGAAAAAAGUUUUCAAAGGAGUCUGUGCAGUCCUUUGAAAUGCAGAGGAGUUCAGCUCAGUGACAGCAAGGCGCCCAAAUCAUCACCCCUCCACCCCCCUUGACAGUUGGUAUGGGUUGUUUGGCUGUGGGUUGUUUGGGGUGGUAGAACAGGUCAGCUACUAACCAGAAGGUUGAUGGUUCGAUCUCAGGCUCCUCCAGUCUGCAUGCCAAAAAUAUCCUUGGGCAAGAUACUAACCCCAUGUUGCUCUCCGAUGCAUCCAUCAGAGUGUGAAUGUGUGUGAAUAUUAGAUAGUGAGCACUUAACAGCUUAUAAAAAGUGUUUGUGUGACUGGGC